CAUGUGGUGGAUGCCUUGGCGAUUACAGGCGAUGAAGGACGUGAUAGCCUGCGAAAAGCUUCGGGGAGCUGGCAAAUUAGCUUUGAUCCGGAGAUAUCCGAAUGGGGAAACCCACCCUUAGGGGUAUCGCAUGCUGAAUACAUAGGCAUGCGAGGCGAACCGAGUGAACUGAAACAUCUAAGUAACUCGAGGAAAAGACAUCAACCGAGAUUCCGAAAGUAGUGGCGAGCGAAAUCGGAGGAGCCUAGUCCUCUUUAGCAUCGAAUUUAUCAAAACAGCUUGGAAACGCUGGCCAUAGUGGGUGAUAGCCCCGUAUGAGAAAAGUUUGGUGUGGAACUGAGUGGACGAUAAGUAGGGCGGGACACGAGAAAUCCUGUCUGAAGAUGGGGGGACCAUCCUCCAAGGCUAAAUACUCGUAAUCGACCGAUAGUGAACAAGUACCGUGAGGGAAAGGCGAAAAGAACCCCGGGAGGGGAGUGAAAUAGAUCCUGAAACCGCAUGCAUACAAAAAGUAGGAGCCGCAAGGUGACUGCGUACCUUUUGUAUAAUGGGUCAGCGACUUACAUUCAGUGGCGAGGUUAACCGAAUAGGGAAGCCGAAGAGAAAUCGAGUCCGAAUAGGGCGUCUAGUCGCUGGGUGUAGACCCGAAACCAAGUGAUCUAUCCAUGGCCAGGAUGAAGGUGCGGUAACACGCACUGGAGGUCCGAACCGACUAAUGUUGCAAAAUUAGCGGAUGAGCUGUGGAUAGGGGUGAAAGGCUAAACAAAUCUGGAAAUAGCUGGUUCUCCCCGAAAACUAUUUAGGUAGUGCCUCAAGUAUUACCAUCGGGGGUAGAGCACUGUUUAGGCUAGGGGGUCAUGGCGACUUACCAAACCUAUGCAAACUCCGAAUACCGAUGAGUACAGCUUGGGAGACAGUGCACCGGGUGCUAACGUCCGGACACAAGAGGGAAACAACCCAGACCGCCAGCUAAGGUCCCUAAAAUUGGCUAAGUGGGAAACGAAGUGGGAAGGCUAAAACAGUCAGGAUGUUGGCUUAGAAGCAGCCAUCAUUUAAAGAAAGCGUAAUAGCUCACUGAUCGAGUCGUCCUGCGCGGAAGAUGUAACGGGGCUCAAGCCAGUUACCGAAGCUGCGGAUUCACAGUUUACUGUGAGUGGUAGGAGAGCGUUCUGUAAGCCUGAGAAGGUGUCUUGAGAAGGAUGCUGGAGGUAUCAGAAGUGCGAAUGCUGACAUGAGUAGCGUUAAAGGGGGUGAAAAGCCCCCUCGCCGAAAGCGCAAGGUUUCCUACGCAACGUUCAUCGGCGUAGGGUGAGUCGGCCCCUAAGGCGAGGCAGAGAUGCGUAGCUGAUGGGAAACAGGUCAAUAUUCCUGUACCGAUCUAUAGUGCGAUGUGGGGACGGAGAAGGUUAGCUCAGCCAACUGUUGGAAUAGUUGGUUCAAGCCUGUAGUCGUGCCUGGUAGGCAAAUCCGCCGGGCUGAGAUGAGGGGUGAUAACGGGUCUGCUUGCAGACGAAGUGAGUGAUACCCUGCUUCCAGGAAAAGCCACUAAGCUUCAGCUAUAGACGACCGUACCGCAAACCGACACUGGUGCGCGAGAUGAGUAUUCUAAGGCGCUUGAGAGAACUCUGGAGAAGGAACUCGGCAAAUUGACACCGUAACUUCGGAAGAAGGUGUGCCUUAAGUAGGUGAACCUGUACAAGGGGAGCCGAACAAGGUCGCAGAGAAUCGGUGGCUGCGACUGUUUAAUAAAAACACAGCACUCUGCAAAGACGAAAGUCGACGUAUAGGGUGUGACGCCUGCCCGGUGCUGGAAGAUUAAUUGAUGGGGUGCAAGCUCUUGAUCGAAGUCCCAGUAAACGGCGGCCGUAACUAUAACGGUCCUAAGGUAGCGAAAUUCCUUGUCGGGUAAGUUCCGACCUGCACGAAUGGCGUAACGAUGGCCACACUGUCUCCUCCUGGGACUCAGCGAAGUUGAAAUGUUUGUGAAGAUGCAAUCUCCCCGCGGCUAGACGGAAAGACCCCAUGAACCUUUACUGUAGCUUUGCAUUGGACUUUGACGGGACUUGUGUAGGAUAGGUGGGAGGCAGUGAGACGUGGUCGCCAGAUCACGUGGA
This 2114-nucleotide ribosomal RNA is filed under the name Apteronotus leptorhynchus. RNAcentral's name for it is "bacterial LSU rRNA". It matches the Rfam family "Bacterial large subunit ribosomal RNA", at positions 18 to 2184 of the family's 2925-position model. The record is from RNAcentral. Lineage: Eukaryota; Metazoa; Chordata; Actinopteri; Gymnotiformes; Apteronotidae.